This 152-nucleotide unclassified non-coding RNA is filed under the name uncultured fungus. RNAcentral's name for it is "sequence contains ITS1, 5.8S rRNA gene". The record is from RNAcentral. Lineage: Eukaryota; Fungi.
CAGGACUCGCAAGACUCCUAACCCCUGUGAACCUACCCAAAGCGCGUUGCUUCGGCGGGUGUCCCGGCCCGUCCGGGACGUCCACGCCCGCCGGCAGCCCCCUACACUCUGUUUUCAUGCGUUGGCAUCUCUGAGUGAUUACCAAUAAGUCA